Molecule: non-coding RNA, 4040 nt
Organism: Phoenix dactylifera (date palm)
Lineage: Eukaryota; Viridiplantae; Streptophyta; Magnoliopsida; Arecales; Arecaceae
Source: RefSeq, a predicted model, not a curated record
CCAAUCGACACUAAAUAUGUGUCCUGAAAAAAAAAAAUCUAGGAAGACGGUUUUGGUCGGAUACCAUCCUUCCGUCUCCUCUCUCUCUCUCUUCGGACCCUCUUUCCCUCGCUGAACAGCCGUCAUCACCCUUGCCGUCCCUUCCCCGUUCCCUGAUCUCAGGUUUGCCCUCUAAAUCCCCAUCGACCCAUAUCUCUUCUCCCACCAAUCGCCCUCCAAUUCGAUCAUCCUUCGUUCGAUCGAUCGAUCGAUCGAGAAGUUUGAUAUCAAUUCUUCUCUUUUCUCCAUCCAGUUCCCUCUUUAUAUUGCUAAAAGAUCAACCACGGUUCUGUAACAAUCAAAUUGGAUCCAAACCAUGCCCUUCUCCCAACCUUGCCGCGCUCCCGCCGCCGACGCCGGCGGCUACCACCACAAUUACCACCGAUCGGCCUUCACUCGCCCCGCAUACGAAGCCGCCGCCGUCCCCAGCCUCACCCAUUACCCUCAUAGAGAUUACGCCUACAGAAACCACCAAGAUUACGCCUCCAACCAUGCCGCCGCCUACCCUGGCGCGCCGCCUCCUCUAAAGAGGAGGAGGUCCGACGUCUCCAUGCGGGACGAUCAUGCCGGUAAUCGGUACUGCAAUGGGGUUGCCGGCGGCAAUGCCCUGUCGACGAGUCACGUUUCUUUUCUGCAGCCGAGGAGGCAUGAUGUUGGUGCUGUUCCGGCGCGCAGGCAGGCGGAGCCGGCAAAAGUGGAGGAGGAUGUGGCGUUCAUGUCGAGGGAUGAGAUCGAGAGGUGCUCGCCAUCGAGAAAGGAUGGAAUAGAUCCUGUUCUUGAAACGCACCUGCGGUACUCGUACUGCUCGUAUCUUCAGAGCCUUGGGAUGAGGCUCGAGCUGCCUCAAACUACAAUCGGAACUGCUAUGGUGCUCUGCCACCGAUUCUUUCUUCGUAGAUCUCAUGCUUGUCAUGAUAGAUUUGUGAGUUUGAUUGCUACAGCAGCUCUGUUCCUAGCAGCAAAGUCUGAGGAAACACCAUGCCUACUGAACUGUGUGCUAAGGGCAUCCUUUGAAAUUUCUCAGAAACAGGAAUUUGCUUUCUUUCCAUAUUUGCUACACAGUCAGGACUGGUUUGAACAAUAUCGUGAGAAGGUUAUUGAGGCUGAACAAAUGAUAUUGACAACCCUGGAUUUUGAACUUGAUGUGCAGCACCCUUAUGCUCCACUUAGAUCUGUUCUUGACAAGCUAGGACUUUCACAAACUCUUCUUCUUAAUGUCGCCUGGAACUUGGUUAAUGAAGGGGUCAUUCUUCACGAGAAUCAUGUGCUCACCUGUGUGAUAUUCUUAGCUGGAGCAUUCAUAUGCUGUUCAUGGAAAGCCUUUUUUUUCUUUUUAUGCAUUUGAAGUUGAGCAAUAGUGCAAUUUGGACAUGAUUGCAUGGAAAAUCUCAAAUCGAUUAUCCAGUUGGUUAUUAUUAAUGACUGAUAGAUCUUCAGAACAUGUUUCACUUGUAGUGCAAUUCUGUUCAUUCUUCCUCCUUGAUUUGUGAUAUCUGAUACUUUUAGGGUCAUUUCUCCUUGAGUUUCACCAUCUGGCUCAUGAAGUUUGCCUUCCAUUUAUCUUUGAGUUUUAUCUAAACCUCUUUGCCUCACUCAUGUCAUAUUCCAAUUUUAUUUUCUUGUCCCAUAUUUCUUAUUUGUUCAAUAAUCUCUGCAAACCUAAUUUUUAUAUUUACUUUUUGGUAGUUCAGCAUAUCUGCCUUGCAAAGCCAACCAAUGACAUUUUUUCCCCCCAAUUCAGAGUCUGGGUGAAACUUACAUUAAAUGGAUGAAGUUUCAAUAUACACUUUUGUCUUGGUUUCGCUUCUUUUUUAGUCAAUACCAGUCUCCUAAUUUCCAAGCAAUGGAGCAUACAUGCAAGUACAUCAGUUCUCUCUAUUUUGCAUCGUGCAUGCAUGCAACACAUGAAAAUCCCUAGGCAAAAAAAAAUCUCUAUCAUAACUUGAAUAUAUUAACUUAAAUUAAAAAAAUAAAAUGAAAGAUAAACCCUAAGAAUCAUCAAUGCAUGAAUUAUUUGAUGAUACAGUUUUCCAGAUCGAUUGCUGCUACCUUCUUAACCUCCCAGUAUGAUAACGAUGAGGUAGCUGAAUAAAUUUAUCUUCCGAUCCAUUUAAGAGGAUUCUUGUAGGUGACAAGCUGCCAGCUGCCCUACUAAUGAGACAAUGUUUUCUAAAUUUUGUUAGUUGGAUGUACAUAUAACACAAUGAAAUAUGUGCUAUGUUACAUGAAAAACUCCAACAGUAAAACAUAUUUUGUUACUAGAUUGCAGCUAUUAUGUUAUUAUUAUUGUUUCCAUUUAAUCAAAAGAUUUCAUUUGUCAAUCUGUACAACAUGGCUUAUCUCCUACUGGUUUGUAAAUUAUGAAAUUUGGGGUGAGGAAGUGAGUGAGACUUCUAUACAUCAUUCAGUCUUCUAUGACCUGUGUGGUUCUUUGUUUUUUAUAGUUCCAAAUUGCACCUUGCCUCAACCAAGUAGUUGAACCCUAUAUACUUAUCUCCAACUUUCUAGGCGCAACACAGAGUAUGGAAAGGAAAUCUCUUUAUCAUUUUCAGAAAGCACGUGAUACCCAUUCGCAUUUCAACCUAAUCAUGUUUGAAAAUGUAAUAGCAGUUCGGGAAAGCAUGCGCAUGGUCACUAUCUUGGCAUGGUGCUGGAUAUCUUAUUAGUCAUUUGUGAAAUAUCAUUGAUAAGCAGAAGCUAGAAGCAUCCAUGGGAGAAGCUUGUACUCUCUCCUCUGUGUCACAAAUCUCACUUACUUUUUCUGAUUGAAUAUUGUUUUUGGAUUCGGGAAGGGCAAUUGCCCCUGGAGCAUUCUUGGGUCCAGUCCUUGAUGCAUAAUUCCCAAAGGCACAUCAUACUGCUAUAGAUUAGCACUAUGACAGCAUUUCUACAGAAGAUUCUCAGAUAGUAUAUCACCUGGAUGGCUGCUUUGUAGUUGACUAAGGAGUUCACUUUGGCUUCAGUUUAAGCCCCAUCAUAUUGCUGCUGGGGCUGCAUUUCUUGCUGCCAAAUUCCUAAAUUAUGAUCUUGCUUUUCACCCGAGUUUUUGGCAUGAAUUCCAGACAGCAUCAUCUAUUCUUCAAGAUGUCGUGCAACAGUUGAUGGAACUCUUCUAAUGACACACCAGUACUCUUACAUGUUUUACUAAAGGUUUGUUAUGCGCCAUAUUUAUAUUGGAUAAAAUAUUUUAAAUAUAAGGAUCUCAAGGUGCUAUCAUGUGAAUGUGUCAGCUAAAUAUCUGCAUAAUGCUUCCUAUAAUUUUUAAUCUGUGGAAGCUUUUUUAUUCUUAAGGCUUAAGCUGCUUAUGGUACUAUUUGUGCCUAUUAACAACCUUUAACAUAGCUGUUGGACAUUCAUAGUUUUACUAAAAGUUGAUCUACAAUUGCCACAUAUUGACUUCUUGGUUCUACUAAUCUUUCUCCUGGCCUUGUGAGGGAACAAAGGUGCUAUGCAUCUUGUUGUUAACUGGUGCUCCAAUGGUGCCUACACAUUGAGAAAUUAAUCUACUUAGAGUGAACGGUGAAACAGGAAUUUGGGUGAUUUAAUGUUAUGGACAUGGUUAAUAUACAUUUCUGCUGAAUCAGUGACUAGAAGUUGUCCAUUUUGCACCCAUGAAAUUAAAAGAAUCUGCUGGUAUUAGCCCUGACAAGUUUUUGACAUAUGGCAUUACCCUGGUUAUAUAAUUGAAUGGCAAAGCAGGAGUCUUGUUGACUGGUCUAACAAGAUUGGAUAUGACUUGCUUGUGUUUAUAGGCAGGAUAAUAAUCAUGUUACAACAAACGGGUAUCAGCUGUUAUAGACUGCCAAAGGCUGGUACCAAUUAGCUUAUUGCAGUGGUCUCUGAAUGAGGUGUUGGAUGAGAACAAAUGUAUUUGGGACUUUAGCCUUCUCACCAAUUAGUACAUGUCCCGUUCACAUACUUCUAAAAUGAUGAAUCCUAUCAGCUAGAAGCGCAAAUGCUUCAAAUUGCAUCCAGUGUUUGUAUUGGAUAACUAUUGAAUA